AUAUGAGUAGAGCGGCGGACGGGUGAGUAACGCGUAGGAAUCUACCUAGUAGAAGGGGAUAGCCCGAGGAAACUCGGAUUAAUACCGUAUACCUCUUCGGGAGAAAGAAGGCCUCUCUUUGAAGCUUUCGCUACUAGAUGAGCCUGCGUAAGAUUAGCUUGUUGGUGAGGUAAAGGCUCACCAAGGCUACGAUCUUUAGCGGGUCUGAGAGGACGAUCCGCCACAUUGGGACUGAGACACGGCCCAGACUCCUACGGGAGGCAGCAGUGGGGAAUAUUGGACAAUGGGCGCAAGCCUGAUCCAGCCAUACCGCGUGUGUGAAGAAGGCCCUAGGGUUGUAAAGCACUUUAAGUUGGGAAGAAAAGUUAUUGGCUAAUACUCAAUAACCGUGACAUUACCAUCAGAAUAAGGACCGG
RNAcentral lists this ribosomal RNA (416 nucleotides) under uncultured Pseudomonadota bacterium. Its description in RNAcentral is "bacterial SSU rRNA". It matches the Rfam family "Bacterial small subunit ribosomal RNA", at positions 84 to 496 of the family's 1533-position model. The record is from RNAcentral. Lineage: Bacteria; Pseudomonadati; Pseudomonadota.